This 510-nucleotide ribosomal RNA is filed under the name uncultured bacterium. Its description in RNAcentral is "partial 16S ribosomal RNA". It matches the Rfam family "Bacterial small subunit ribosomal RNA", at positions 28 to 507 of the family's 1533-position model. The record is from RNAcentral.
GACGAACGCUGGCGGCGUGCUUAACACAUGCAAGUCGAACGAAGAGCGAUGGAAGCUUGCUUCUAUCAAUCUUAGUGGCGAACGGGUGAGUAACGCGUAAUCAACCUGCCCUUCAGAGGGGGACAACAGUUGGAAACGACUGCUAAUACCGCAUACGAUCCAAUCUCGGCAUCGGGACUGGAUGAAAGGUGGCCUCUAUUUAUAAGCUAUCACUGAAGGAGGGGAUUGCGUCUGAUUAGCUAGUUGGAGGGGUAACGGCCCACCAAGGCGAUGAUCAGUAGCCGGUCUGAGAGGAUGAACGGCCACAUUGGGACUGAGACACGGCCCAGACUCCUACGGGAGGCAGCAGUGGGGAAUCUUCCGCAAUGGACGAAAGUCUGACGGAGCAACGCCGCGUGAGUGAUGACGGCCUUCGGGUUGUAAAGCUCUGUUAAUCGGGACGAAUGGUUCUUGUGCGAAUAGGGCGAGGCUUUGACGGUACCGGAAUAGAAAGCCACGGCUAACUACGUG